This 248-nucleotide ribosomal RNA is filed under the name uncultured Oscillospiraceae bacterium. RNAcentral's name for it is "partial 16S ribosomal RNA". It matches the Rfam family "Bacterial small subunit ribosomal RNA", at positions 524 to 771 of the family's 1533-position model. Lineage: Bacteria; Bacillati; Bacillota; Clostridia; Eubacteriales; Oscillospiraceae. The record is from RNAcentral.
UACGUAGGUGGCGAGCGUUGUCCGGAUUUACUGGGUGUAAAGGGCGCGUAGGCGGGAGUGCAAGUCAGAUGUGAAAUCCAUGGGCUUAACCCAUGAACUGCAUUUGAAACUGUAUUUCUUGAGUGUCGGAGAGGUAGACGGAAUUCCUAGUGUAGCGGUGAAAUGCGUAGAUAUUAGGAGGAACACCAGUGGCGAAGGCGGCCUGCUGGACGACAACUGACGCUGAGGCGCGAAAGCGUGGGGAGCAA